UGGGGAAUAUUGCACAAUGGGCGCAAGCCUGAUGCAGCCAUGCCGCGUGUAUGAAGAAGGCCUUCGGGUUGUAAAGUACUUUCAGCGGGGAGGAAGGGAGUAAAGUUAAUACCUUUGCCCAUUGACGUUACCCGCAGAAGAAGCACCGGCUAACUCCGUGCCAGCAGCCGCGGUAAUACGGAGGGUGCAAGCGUUAAUCGGAAUUACUGGGCGUAAAGCGCACGCAGGCGGUUUGUUAAGUCAGAUGUGAAAUCCCCGGGCUCAACCUGGGAACUGCAUCUGAUACUGGCAAGCUUGAGUCUCGUAGAGGGGGGUAGAAUUCCAGGUGUAGCGGUGAAAUGCGUAGAGAUCUGGAGGAAUACCGGUGGCGAAGGCGGCCCCCUGGACGAAGACUGACGCUCAGGUGCGAAAGCGUGGGGAGCAAACAGG
Molecule: ribosomal RNA, 429 nt
Filed under: Chloroflexota bacterium
Lineage: Bacteria; Bacillati; Chloroflexota
Also listed under: 1 other name
Description: Chloroflexi bacterium partial 16S ribosomal RNA
Rfam family: Bacterial small subunit ribosomal RNA
Source: RNAcentral